CUUGUACACACCGCCCGUCACACCGGAUGGGAGCGGGUUCUGCCAGAAGUAGUUAGCCUAACCGCAAGGAGGGCGAUUACCACGGCAGGGUUCGUGACUGGGGUG
This 105-nucleotide ribosomal RNA is filed under the name uncultured bacterium. RNAcentral's name for it is "partial 16S ribosomal RNA". It matches the Rfam family "Bacterial small subunit ribosomal RNA", at positions 1380 to 1482 of the family's 1533-position model. The record is from RNAcentral.